Molecule: non-coding RNA, 72 nt
Organism: Natrinema pellirubrum DSM 15624
Lineage: Archaea; Methanobacteriati; Methanobacteriota; Halobacteria; Halobacteriales; Natrialbaceae
Source: Rfam
CCUGCACGACGCCGUGUCACAGGUCGGGAUGUGAUCCGCGGGGCUUGGCCCCGGUCGGGAUUGAACCAGCAA